GAGACACGGUCCAAACUCCUACGGGAGGCAGCAGUGAGGAAUAUUGGUCAAUGGGCGCUAGCCUGAACCAGCCAAGUAGCGUGAAGGAUGAAGGCUCUAUGGGUCGUAAACUUCUUUUAUAUAAGAAUAAAGUGCAGUAUGUAUACUGUUUUGUAUGUAUUAUAUGAAUAAGGAUCGGCUAACUCCGUGCCAGCAGCCGCGGUAAUACGGAGGAUCCGAGCGUUAUCCGGAUUUAUUGGGUUUAAAGGGAGCGUAGGUGGACUGGUAAGUCAGUUGUGAAAGUUUGCGGCUCAACCGUAAAAUUGCAGUUGAUACUGUCAGUCUUGAGUACAGUAGAGGUGGGCGGAAUUCGUGGUGUAGCGGUGAAAUGCUUAGAUAUCACGAAGAACUCCGAUUGCGAAGGCAGCUCACUGGACUGCAACUGACACUGAUGCUCGAAAGUGUGGGUAUCAAACAGGAUUAGAUACCCUGGUAGUCCACACAGUAAACGAUGAAUACUCGCUGUUUGCGAUAUACAGUAAGCGGCCAAGCGAAAGCAUUAAGUAUU
This 547-nucleotide ribosomal RNA is filed under the name uncultured Bacteroidota bacterium. RNAcentral describes it as "bacterial SSU rRNA". It matches the Rfam family "Bacterial small subunit ribosomal RNA", at positions 321 to 868 of the family's 1533-position model. Lineage: Bacteria; Pseudomonadati; Bacteroidota. The record is from RNAcentral.